Molecule: microRNA precursor, 126 nt
Filed under: Brassica napus (rape)
Lineage: Eukaryota; Viridiplantae; Streptophyta; Magnoliopsida; Brassicales; Brassicaceae
Description: MIR9563 microRNA precursor family
Rfam family: MIR9563 microRNA precursor family
Source: Rfam by way of RNAcentral
GGAAUAUAAGAAAUCGUCUUUUAGCUUUUAGCUAAAAAAACUAAGAAUCACCUCUUAAAUAUCUUAUUUAAAAAACCGAUUCUUAGCUUUUUUAAUUGAAAAUUAAGAAACUGUUUCUUAUAUUCC